AAAAGGGGGGAAUAGAAAAAGGGGGGAGGGAGAGAAAAGAAAGAAAUAAUGAAAAAAGAAAGAAUAAAAUUGUAUGGAAAAUACCAUUGAUAGAAAUAAGGGGGGGGGGAUCAAAUUAGAUUGCAAACCCCAGACCAGCCUCCCUCCCUCCCUCCCUCUCUCUCUCUCCCCCCCUUCCUCCUCCCCCUUUUCU
Non-coding RNA from Podarcis lilfordi (Lilford's wall lizard), 193 nucleotides. NCBI's taxonomy places the organism in Eukaryota, Metazoa, Chordata, Lepidosauria, Squamata, Lacertidae. The record is from the annotation of a GenBank genome assembly.